Long non-coding RNA from Maniola jurtina (meadow brown), 972 nucleotides. RefSeq lists it as uncharacterized. The transcript has 2 exons. The record is from RefSeq and is a predicted model, not a curated record. NCBI's taxonomy places the organism in Eukaryota, Metazoa, Arthropoda, Insecta, Lepidoptera, Nymphalidae.
UUUUAUUGAGUAAGUUAUGUGUUCUCCAAUAACUAUAACUAUUAUUAUUUAAAACAUUGAGUUUAUAAUGGAUGGACUAGGUUUGAGCAACCUUAAUUACCUUCGCAUAUUGUACCGUGCUAUACGAUACAAUAAGAAUAGUUUGUCUGUUGAUUUGUUCGUGCGUAGGUACAAAAUACAACAUGCAACGUUAUUCAAUCGUUUUUUACCCGAUUAAAUAGCAACCAACUUCUUUGCAUGAAUACAACCUAAGACAAAUCCAUGAUAUUUCAAACUGAAUGUAGUCCUACAACAACGUGCGCCAGCGCCGGCGACGCUAUGUCUAGAGGGUUCGUAUUUCACAUUCCACAUCCAGUUAAGGAACGAUCUUUGAAUGAUAAAACCUGCGAUUUUGAACUUUAUUGAUAAUUUAAAAAAAGUAUAUAAGUUACGUGAAAACUUGUGAAAAUUCAUUACAUUGUACUGGACAUCAAAACGUGAUCUACAACAUGUCGGAUUCAAAUGAUCCUUUUAACUUUCAACCCAAUACGACCCUUACUCAACGUGUUAGUAAUUAUUUUCAAAGGGAAAAUAAUGGGUUAGAUAUCCCUCCUACUUUAAAAAAGAAAAAAGCCAAUGUUGUGUAUUCAUACAUAAAAGUUCCUAAUAAUGGAGCCAAAGUUAUCAGAUUGGAAAUAUAUGAUGCGGCAAAACUACGAAACACUAUGUUUUGUGAAUGUGAUGCAAAUGUCUGUGUUCAAUAUGUCGUCGAUAGCGAUAACUUACUUUUCGAUGAAAUCUAUAAUGGAGCUCACAGUUUAAUAACGAAAAUACAACGAAGUAUGUCCUGCAUUGAUGUUACUAGUGAUUAAAAAAUAAGAGUGAAAUGCGUUUUUGUGUAAAUAAUUAUUGUUUAUAACUAACGAUACAAAUUGUCUACUCAAUCAUUAUGUAAACUUAUUCGAAUGCAAAUAAACAAACUUUAUUAUUGAA